Molecule: non-coding RNA, 26 nt
Filed under: Cricetulus griseus (Chinese hamster)
Lineage: Eukaryota; Metazoa; Chordata; Mammalia; Rodentia; Cricetidae
Source: RNAcentral
CAAGUCUGGAGGAGCAAAGUGUAAGU